UAUUAGAUGAGAUAAUAAAGUAUAUCUUGACCAAAUAUAUAUUGACCAUGUGUAUGCAUCUGCCCGAUGUUUAUAUAAUUUCGUGUUUUCAGGCGGUGGGAUUUCAGUGUCGGCAGUUGCUUCGUGUGUCUCUACGUUCUUGCUGUGGCCGGACUCAGUCUCAGUGUGUUUCAGGUGCCUUAAGGCAUGGAGCUCCUUGAAAGAGAAACACAAAUCACUAAAAAUGUUGAGAUAAAAUCCUGCUCCUCAGAGGCGCCUGUUUGGCACGAACUGAACAGGGCGGUGAUACGCCCUGUGUUUUACAAAGGGAGGAACUAAAGUCCCUAGGAGUUGCCUUCCCCGUUUGGCGUGGCAAGCUAUUAAGAGCUGUGAAUGAAAACCAGAUAAGUACGUUUGAAGCCAGGAAGUUAUGUGGUUUGCAAAGUGAAGUGGAUGAUCCUAAUGGUUGGUGACAUUCUCAUCCCAUUCUGGUCCACCCCCGUCUACUCCAGGGAGAUACAUGCCAGCUGGACCAAAACACUUGUGUCAACCGUGUCAGCAUCGUGCAGUGUACACACUUACAAAUUCUUGCUUUCUAGUUUACCUUUUCCUCGGCUCCACAUAAAGGGAGAAAGGAAACACCUUCACAGUCAGAACAUCUAGGUCAACCCUAGUGACGGGUGACACGGCAGCUGGAGCAGCCUGCUUGCUUCACGUUUAAAGAAUUUCAGGUAAAUGCAUCUAACAGACUUGGACACAAAGGGGAACCAGCAGUGGUUCCUGGUCUUAAGUAGCUUAUAGCCUGGUAGGACCAGAUUCAAACAUUCUUUGCCCAUUUCUACUUGGCAUAUC
This is a long non-coding RNA of Dama dama (fallow deer), 831 nucleotides long. RefSeq lists it as uncharacterized. NCBI's taxonomy places the organism in Eukaryota, Metazoa, Chordata, Mammalia, Artiodactyla, Cervidae. The record is from RefSeq and is a predicted model, not a curated record. The transcript has 4 exons.